AGCGAACGCUGGCGGCAGGCUUAACACAUGCAAGUCGAGCGGGCAUCUUCGGGUGUCAGCGGCGGACGGGUGAGUAACGCGUGGGAACGUGCCUUCUGGUUCGGAAUAUCUCAGGGAAACUUGAGCUAAUACCGGAUACGCCCUUUUGGGGAAAGGUUUACUGCCGGAAGAUCGGCCCGCGUCUGAUUAGCUAGUUGGUGGGGUAACGGCCUACCAAGGCGACGAUCAGUAGCUGGUCUGAGAGGAUGAUCAGCCACACUGGGACUGAGACACGGCCCAGACUCCUACGGGAGGCAGCAGUGGGGAAUAUUGGACAAUGGGGGCAACCCUGAUCCAGCCAUGCCGCGUGAGUGAUGAAGGCCUAGGGUUGUAAAGCUCUUUUAUCCGGGACGAUAAUGACGGUACCGGAGGAAUAAGCCCCGGCUAACUUCGUGCCAGCAGCCGCCGUAA
This 450-nucleotide ribosomal RNA is filed under the name uncultured bacterium. RNAcentral describes it as "partial 16S ribosomal RNA". It matches the Rfam family "Bacterial small subunit ribosomal RNA", at positions 29 to 523 of the family's 1533-position model. The record is from RNAcentral.